Molecule: unclassified non-coding RNA, 209 nt
Filed under: plant metagenome
Description: partial contains small subunit ribosomal RNA and internal transcribed spacer 1
Rfam family: Eukaryotic small subunit ribosomal RNA (bases 1-46)
Source: RNAcentral
AAGUCGUAACAAGGUUUCCGUAGGUGAACCUGCGGAAGGAUCAUUAAGAAAAGGCGAGUGCGGAAACGCGCUCUCAUUUCAAACCACUGUGAAAACGCACGUUGCUUCGGCAGCUCCACGGCCGCGAGGUCAUGGGUCAGCCUGUCGACAGCACCAAACCAAACCUUUUUGGUAACAGCAGUCUGAUAACGAAAUACAAGUCGUUAAAA